UGNNGGUGCUACCAUGCAGUCNACGCGAAAGCCCCGCAGGGGUAGUAGAGUGGCUAACGGGUGAGUAACACGUGGGUGACCUGCCUUCGAGCGGGGGAUAACGUCCCGAAAGGGACGCUAAUACCGCAUAACAUCCUGCCUUUGAAGAGGCGGUGAUCAAAGCUGGGGAUCGCAAGACCUAGCACUCGAAGAGGGGCCCGCGUCCGAUUAGCUAGUUGGUGGGGUAAUGGCCCACCAAGGCAACGAUCGGUAGCCGGCCUGAGAGGGCGGACGGCCACACUGGGACUGAGACACGGCCCAGACUCCUACGGGAGGCAGCAGUGGGGAAUUGUUCGCAAUGGGCGCAAGCCUGACGACGCAACGCCGCGUGGAGGAUGAAGAUCUUCGGGUCGUAAACUCCUUUCGAUCGAGACGAAUUCCUCCGGGGUGAACAAUCCCGGAGGUUGACGGUACCGAGAGAAGAAGCCCCGGCUAACUCCGUGCCAGCAGCCGCGGUAAUACGGGGGGGGCAAGCGUUGUUCGGAAUUACUGGGCGUAAAGGNCUCGUANGUGGCCAACUAAGUCGGACGUGAANCCCUCGGCUUAACCGGGGAACUGCNUCCGAUACUGGNUUGGCUUGANUUUGGNANAGGGAUGCGGAAUUCCAGGUGUANCGGUGAAAUGCGUUAAUUUCUGGAGGAACCCCGGUGGCGAAGGGGCNUCCUGNACAAUACUGACCCUUAAGANCNAAANCCNGGGGACNANNGGNAUNAAAUNCCCGGUAGUCUUGGCCCUAANNAUAAGACGAUGAAUGCUUGGUGUGGCGGGUAUCGAUCCCUGCCGUGCCGAAGCUAACGCAUUAAGCAUUCCGCCUGGGGAGUACGGUCGCANGGCUGAAACUCAAAGGANUUGACGGGGGCCCGCACAAGCGGUGGAGCAUGUGGUUCAUUUCGACGCAACGCGAANAACCU
RNAcentral lists this ribosomal RNA (950 nucleotides) under uncultured Haliangium sp. RNAcentral describes it as "partial 16S ribosomal RNA". It matches the Rfam family "Bacterial small subunit ribosomal RNA", at positions 40 to 971 of the family's 1533-position model. The record is from RNAcentral. Lineage: Bacteria; Pseudomonadati; Myxococcota; Haliangiales; Kofleriaceae.